UACGACGGGGGCUAGCGUUGUUCGGAAUCACUGGGCGUAAAGCGCACGUAGGCGGACUCUUAAGUCAGGGGUGAAAGCCUGAGGCUCAACCUCAGAAUUGCCUUUGAUACUGGGAGUCUUGAGUGUGACAGAGGUUGGUGGAACUGCGAGUGUAGAGGUGAAAUUCGUAGAUAUUCGCAAGAACACCAGUGGCGAAGGCGGCCAAAUGGGUCAUGACUGACGCUGAGGUGCGUAAGCGUGGGGAGCAAACAGG
Molecule: ribosomal RNA, 253 nt
Filed under: uncultured bacterium
Lineage: Bacteria
Description: partial 16S ribosomal RNA
Rfam family: Bacterial small subunit ribosomal RNA
Source: RNAcentral